ACUGGGCAUGGUGGUGCACACCUGUAAUCCCAGCAGCUCAGGAGGUUGAGGGAGGAGGUUCAUGAGUUCAAAGCCAGCCUCAGCAAAAGCAAGGCACUAAGCAAUUCAGUGAGACCCUGUCUCUA
This 125-nucleotide small RNA is filed under the name Marmota monax (woodchuck). The record is from RNAcentral. Lineage: Eukaryota; Metazoa; Chordata; Mammalia; Rodentia; Sciuridae.